This 301-nucleotide ribosomal RNA is filed under the name uncultured bacterium. Its description in RNAcentral is "partial 16S ribosomal RNA". It matches the Rfam family "Bacterial small subunit ribosomal RNA", at positions 511 to 809 of the family's 1533-position model. The record is from RNAcentral.
CUAGCCGCGGGAAUACGUAGGGUGCGAGCGUUAAUCGGAAUUACUGGGCGUAAAGCGUGCGCAGGCGGUUGUGUAAGACAGGUGUGAAAUCCCCGGGCUUAACCUGGGAACUGCGCUUGUGACUGCACAGCUAGAGUAUGGCAGAGGGGGGUGGAAUUCCACGUGUAGCAGUGAAAUGCGUAGAGAUGUGGAGGAACACCGAUGGCGAAGGCAGCCCCCUGGGCCAAUACUGACGCUCAUGCACGAAAGCGUGGGGAGCAAACAGGAUUAGAUACCCCGGUAGUCCCUGUCUCUUAUACAA